AGCUAGCACAGCUCUUUCAGAAUUUUUCUAGUAUAUUUUCUGACUUUGGUUAGGAAACCU
Small nuclear RNA from Rattus norvegicus (Norway rat), 60 nucleotides. Ensembl annotates it as U7 small nuclear RNA. NCBI's taxonomy places the organism in Eukaryota, Metazoa, Chordata, Mammalia, Rodentia, Muridae. The record is from Ensembl.